AAAAUUAUACUUAAAGAGUUUUAUACACGUCUACCUCAAACUGAAAUGCAUACGAAAUCAUGUCAAUAAUUUAAGGAUUUGUUAAAACGUUAUUUUGUCAUUUUCAGACCCUAAAAUGUAUUUAGUUAACAUCCAAAUAUAUCCAAUGUUCGAAAGCAAACCCACUUAAAAUUAUAAAAUUGAUUAUAUAAUGUGUUCCAGGAUUUAGGUUCAGUAAACCAUUAGGGAAACCACUAUUUUUAUUGUAAUUCCAAUUGUUCAACCUACCUCAACUGAUAUGACUCUAUUCACAGAUUAUAAAGGCAAAGAGUCACGCAGUUUAUUGACUUUGUUUAUUAGAGCUCCGACAUGCCGAUAAAGGAGACAAAGCGAGUAAUAACAACAUUAAUUGUUUAUACUAAUUCGCAUGAGGAAAAUGUCAAUGUAACACAAUUGAUACAAAACAUCCGUGGUUUUUAAUAAGGGUCCUUAAUUUUAAUGAUCAUAGACUCCCAUCGAUAUCCGAAACAACAGAGGAUCUGCUUAUGCGUUACCAUUCUUUGAGAAUGAGUACCAGUAAUUGAAUGUGUAGAAAUACGAAGGACUAACAUCCCACGUUUCGCCCACGCGAGGGAAGACUGUGAAGGAAUGAAAUCAUACAAAGAUAUUUAUAUACUAGUUGUUCCAGACUCUUGCCAAUUAACGACCUUUCAACAACUUUAUAUAUAAGAGAAUGCAAACGCGUGGGGUCUGAACGCUGCGCCACAAUUACAACACGAAUACACUUCAAGUGGUAAAGUUACAUUGUAUUUGCUUAUAGAGUUAUGAUGGAACAAAUGUUGAUAUAUAAUUAAGGUAAUUAUGUUUUGAUUUAAGUAUAGACUAAGAUUUUAUAACAGCCUCAUAAAUAAUAGAUAUAUAGUAUACUAGCUGUUCCGCGCGUAAUUAAAAAA
Long non-coding RNA from Papilio machaon (common yellow swallowtail), 932 nucleotides. RefSeq lists it as uncharacterized. NCBI's taxonomy places the organism in Eukaryota, Metazoa, Arthropoda, Insecta, Lepidoptera, Papilionidae. The transcript is spliced from 3 exons. The record is from RefSeq and is a predicted model, not a curated record.